GCGGUAACACCGGCAGCUCGAGUGGUAGCUGUUUUAUUGGGCCUAAAGCGUUCGUAGCCGGUUAAUAAGCUUGGUGAAAGCUGUAGCUUAACUAUAAGAAUUGCUGGAGAUACUAUUAGACUUGAAGUCGGGAGAGGUUAGAGGUACUACCGGGGUAGGGGGUGAAAUCCUAUAAUCCUGGGAGGACCACCUGUGGCGAAGGCGUCUAACUGGAACGAUCUUGACGGUGAGUAACGAAAGCCAGGGCGCGAACCGGAUUAGAUACCCGGGUAGUCCUGGCCGUAAACGAUGUGGACUUGGUGUUGGAAUGGCUUUGAGUUGUCCGGUGCCGAAGGGAAGCUGUUAAGUCCACCGCCUGGGAAGUACGGUCGCAAGAUUGAAACUUAAAGGAAUUGGCGGGGGAGCACCACAACGCGUGGAGCCUGGCGGUUUAAUUGGAUUCAACGCCGGACAUCUCACCAGGAGCGACAGCUGUAUGAUAAUCAGGUUGAUGACCUUAUUUGACUAGCUGAGAGGAGUGGUGCAUGG
Molecule: ribosomal RNA, 528 nt
Filed under: uncultured archaeon
Lineage: Archaea
Description: bacterial SSU rRNA
Rfam family: Archaeal small subunit ribosomal RNA
Source: RNAcentral